CGGCGGACGGGUGAGUAACACGUGGAUAACCUACCUAUAAGACUGGGAUAACUUCGGGAAACCGGAGCUAAUACCGGAUAAUAUAUUGAACCGCAUGGUUCAAUAGUGAAAGGCGGUUUUGCUGUCACUUAUAGAUGGAUCCGCGCCGCAUUAGCUAGUUGGUAAGGUAACGGCUUACCAAGGCAACGAUGCGUAGCCGACCUGAGAGGGUGAUCGGCCACACUGGAACUGAGACACGGUCCAG
This 244-nucleotide ribosomal RNA is filed under the name uncultured Staphylococcus sp. RNAcentral describes it as "partial 16S ribosomal RNA". It matches the Rfam family "Bacterial small subunit ribosomal RNA", at positions 96 to 334 of the family's 1533-position model. Lineage: Bacteria; Bacillati; Bacillota; Bacilli; Caryophanales; Staphylococcaceae. The record is from RNAcentral.